Molecule: ribosomal RNA, 252 nt
Filed under: uncultured bacterium
Lineage: Bacteria
Description: partial 16S ribosomal RNA
Rfam family: Bacterial small subunit ribosomal RNA
Source: RNAcentral
UACGGAGGAUGCGAGCGUUAUCCGGAUUUAUUGGGUUUAAAGGGUGCGCAGGCGGCACGGCAAGCCGGCGGUCAAAUCGCGGGGCUCAACCCCGCCCAGCCGUCGGAACUGCCGGGCUAGAGUGGGCGAGAAGUGCGCGGAAUGCGUGGUGUAGCGGUGAAAUGCAUAGAUAUCACGCAGAACUCCGAUCGCGAAGGCAGCGCACCGGCGCCCUACCGACGCUCAGGCACGAAAGCGUGGGUAUCGAACAGG